GCCUGGGUGACUCAGUCGGUUAAGCGUCUGACUUCAGCUCAGGUCAUUAUCUUACAGUUUGUGGGUUCAAGUCCCACAUCAGUCU
Molecule: non-coding RNA, 85 nt
Organism: Felis catus (domestic cat)
Lineage: Eukaryota; Metazoa; Chordata; Mammalia; Carnivora; Felidae
Source: Rfam